UGAUUGCAGGACCAGUUAUUUCGGGAAUUCACAGGUGGGAUAUCUGGUAGUAUCUUAUAGGGCUAUCUUCCUACAGACGCUUGAUUGAGGUUUGGGAAAUCUUGAUCAUACGUUCGUUCCGAGCAGUACUAGCUCACACUUGUUUGCUGUGGCCUUGUCGGAAUUUUGUCGUCUGAUGCUUUGAGAAUGCACUCUUGCUAUGUUGUUCGAGUGCAAUGCUAAGUUCUGUUCAGAUAUUCUGUCUUUUGAUUCAGCUUAUGUUCAAAUAUUCUGUGGACUAAUUUGCUGUCCAUCUUCAGGAUGGCUCCACCAACUCGUCAGAC
This 323-nucleotide long non-coding RNA is filed under the name Hordeum vulgare. RNAcentral describes it as "long non-coding RNA (HVUL_LNC008748)". Lineage: Eukaryota; Viridiplantae; Streptophyta; Magnoliopsida; Poales; Poaceae. The record is from RNAcentral.